This 1321-nucleotide long non-coding RNA is filed under the name Macaca fascicularis (crab-eating macaque). Its description in RNAcentral is "lncRNA (ENSMFAG00000047037.2)". Lineage: Eukaryota; Metazoa; Chordata; Mammalia; Primates; Cercopithecidae. The record is from RNAcentral.
AGAAGCAGUGGAGAAUUGAGCAGUGGAGAAUUGAGGGGAGGGCCAUUGUAGCAUAUGCUCAUGAAUAAUGAAUCUGACAUUAUACGUAUGCAAAUGGAACACAGUAAGCUCUAAGCUAAAACUUGGUUUCAUCAUUUAUUCACAGCCUCUUGUGUUCAGCACCUGGAUUGUGCUCAGGAUGGCAAGAGAACAAAGCAAUCUGCUUGCUGUACUUGGGAUAGAGAAGACCUGCACGAGAAAGCCAGAUAUUCAAGAUGGUGUGAUUUCUAUCACAAGCUCUGAAGCGCAAAGCACUGCUUCCCAAUACAUCACUUUUCUCUUCUCCCCUGGAGUAGACAUUUUACAAAGUGGUUGAUGUUCCACCUCAUGGUAAGUCCACCCUAAUUCAAACUUCUUUCAAUUUUUCCAGAAUACAAAAUAGUGUCAUUUUAAUCAUGAAUGAUUCAUGAAACUUCAUGCUGCUGUCCAAAUAUUAUUGACCCUGGGCUGGGCUCACCCAAGCUGGGCCAAUCAGGUCCUUUUUCCUGGAAAUUUGGAAUGUUGAACUGAGAACUUUUGAAACAAGGUUCAUUAUUUUUUCUAGCUGAAGUCUUUGAAAACACAGUGGCUUCUUUCUAUUUUUGUUUGCUUGUUUUGUUUCUAUCUUCCUUGGAUUCUGUGAAAAACCCUCCUCAGUCCUCACCAUCCCUCAAAAUUUUAUUUUUGGCUGGCUUGUUUUUUUGUUUAAGCUAUACAGAAUUGGUUUCUGUUACAUGAGACUGAAAGAACUGUAACAAUACAUGUUUUGCUUGUCAUGGUCUCAUUCUUCAUCUACCCAGAUAGCCAUUCAUACGGUCAGCUGGGUAUUACCUUCUCCACAUGGAGUUGGUAUGUGAGGAGCUAAAUCCAAAACUGCCUUUAGGAAGCCCAGGAACUCAUUAUGCUUUUCUUUCACAAAUACAAAAUAAAGAUUUUUCCAAAAAAAUUUUCAAUACUCUUCUGUAUUUAGAUCUUAGACAAUUGAAGAGCAGUAAAGAUAAAAUCCAGGACAGGUUAGAGUUUAUACAGCCACUGUUUAUUUUUUUUGAAAGUGUCUGUGGUCCACAAUACUUGUCACUCUGAUAAACCAAUAUCAGACAGAACUGCAGAAAAUCAGCCAUUCUUUCACUUAAGAAUAGACUAGUGGAUAACUCAUACCUCUGGUUUGUGAGUUUUAGCUACAACAGAUUUGCAAACACCCAGGCAUUUCUUUUCAAAGACCCAUGGGAUACAGGGAAGGGCCCCCAGAAAACUCUGGUUCCAACAAAAGCAGAGUAUCUUUAAAAUCCGAUCUUGUGUGGCU